RNAcentral lists this transfer RNA (84 nucleotides) under Spirochaetaceae bacterium. RNAcentral's name for it is "tRNA-Leu". It matches the Rfam family "tRNA". From Rfam's summary of the family: Transfer RNA (tRNA) molecules are approximately 80 nucleotides in length. The record is from RNAcentral. Lineage: Bacteria; Pseudomonadati; Spirochaetota; Spirochaetia; Spirochaetales; Spirochaetaceae.
GCCGAUGUGGUGAAAUUGGCAGACACGCCAGACUCAAAAUCUGGUGCCCGCAAGGGUGUAUCGGUUCAAGUCCGAUCAUCGGCA